This 72-nucleotide transfer RNA is filed under the name Nanobdellota archaeon. RNAcentral's name for it is "tRNA-Trp". It matches the Rfam family "tRNA". From Rfam's summary of the family: Transfer RNA (tRNA) molecules are approximately 80 nucleotides in length. Their secondary structure includes four short double-helical elements and three loops (D, anti-codon, and T loops). Lineage: Archaea; Nanobdellati; Nanobdellota. The record is from RNAcentral.
GGGUCCAUAGGAUAAAGGUUAAUCUGGCCGCCUCCAGAGCGGCUGAUGGGGGUUCGAUUCCUCCUGGACCCA